This 274-nucleotide ribosomal RNA is filed under the name uncultured bacterium. Its description in RNAcentral is "partial 16S ribosomal RNA". It matches the Rfam family "Bacterial small subunit ribosomal RNA", at positions 523 to 796 of the family's 1533-position model. The record is from RNAcentral.
ACACAGAGGGUGCGAGCGUUAAUCGGAAUUACUGGGCGUAAAGCGCGCGUAGGCGGCUUGGUCAGUCGGAUGUGAAAGCCCCGGGCUCAACCUGGGAAUGGCAUUCGAUACUGCCAGGCUAGAGUAUGGGAGAGGGAAGUGGAAUUUCCGGUGUAGCGGUGAAAUGCGUAGAUAUCGGAAGGAACACCAGUGGCGAAGGCGACUUCCUGGCCCAAUACUGACGCUGAGGUGCGAAAGCGUGGGGAGCGAACAGGAGUAGAUACCCCAGUAGUCC